GACGUAGGGCGCAAGCGUUGUCCGGAUUUAUUGGGCGUAAAGAGCUCGUAGGCGGCUUGUCGCGUCGUCUGUGAAAACCAGCAGCUCAACUGCUGGUCUGCAGUCGAUACGGGCAGGCUAGAGUUCGGUAGGGGAGACUGGAAUUCCUGGUGUAGCGGUGAAAUGCGCAGAUAUCAGGAGGAACACCGGUGGCGAAGGCGGGUCUCUGGGCCGAAACUGACGCUGAGGAGCGAAAGCGUGGGGAGCGAAC
Molecule: ribosomal RNA, 250 nt
Filed under: uncultured bacterium
Lineage: Bacteria
Description: partial 16S ribosomal RNA
Rfam family: Bacterial small subunit ribosomal RNA
Source: RNAcentral